GGGUAACAUAGAGUGCUUGCACUCUGAUGACGACCGGCGCACGGGUGAGUAACGCGUAUACAAUCUGCCUCAUACUAGGGGAUAGCCCAGAGAAAUUUGGAUUAAUACCCUAUAGUAUCAUUUAGAGUCAUCUCUUAAUGAUUAAAGGUUACGGUAUGAGAUGAGUAUGCGUUCUAUUAGUUAGUAGGUGAGGUAACGGCUCACCUAGACCACGAUAGAUAGGGGCCCUGAGAGGGGGAUCCCCCACACUGGUACUGAGACACGGACCAGACUCCUACGGGAGGCAGCAGUGAGGAAUAUUAGACAAUGGGCGAAAGCCUGAUCUAGCCAUGCCGCGUGCAGGAUGACGGCCCUAUGGGUUGUAAACUGCUUUUAUACAGGAAGAAAAAACUCUACGUGUAGAGUCUUGACGGUACUGUAAGAAUAAGGAUCG
This 433-nucleotide ribosomal RNA is filed under the name uncultured Bacteroidota bacterium. Its description in RNAcentral is "bacterial SSU rRNA". It matches the Rfam family "Bacterial small subunit ribosomal RNA", at positions 67 to 495 of the family's 1533-position model. The record is from RNAcentral. Lineage: Bacteria; Pseudomonadati; Bacteroidota.